CUACGUGCCAGCAGCCGCGGUAAUACGGAAGGUCCAGGCGUUAUCCGGAUUUAUUGGGUUUAAAGGGAGCGUAGGCUGGAGAUUAAGUGUGUUGUGAAAUGUAGACGCUCAACGUCUGAAUUGCAGCGCAUACUGGUUUCCUUGAGUACGCACAACGUUGGCGGAAUUCGUCGUGUAGCGGUGAAAUGCUUAGAUAUGACGAAGAACUCCGAUUGCGAAGGCAGCUUACGGGAACACAACUGACGCUGAAGCUCGAAGGUGCGGGUAUCAAACAGGAUUAGAUACCCUGGUAGUCCGCACAGUAAACGAUGGAUGCCCGUUGUUAGUUCACCUAAGAAUUAGCGACCAAGCGAAAGCAUUAAGCAUCCCACCUGGGGAGUACGCCGGCAACGGUGAAACUCAAAGGAAUUGACGGGGGCCCGCACAAGCGGAGGAACAUGUGGUUUAAUUCGAUGAUACGCGAGGAACCUUACCCGGGCUUGAAUUGCAGACGAACGAUUCAGAGA
RNAcentral lists this ribosomal RNA (506 nucleotides) under uncultured bacterium. Its description in RNAcentral is "bacterial SSU rRNA". It matches the Rfam family "Bacterial small subunit ribosomal RNA", at positions 501 to 1006 of the family's 1533-position model. The record is from RNAcentral.